This 245-nucleotide unclassified non-coding RNA is filed under the name fungal sp. RNAcentral describes it as "partial internal transcribed spacer region". The stretch from base 1 to 46 matches the Rfam family "Eukaryotic small subunit ribosomal RNA", at positions 1786 to 1831 of the family's 1831-position model. Lineage: Eukaryota; Fungi. The record is from RNAcentral.
AAGUCGUAACAAGGUUUCCGUAGGUGAACCUGCGGAAGGAUCAUUAACACGUAUCCAACGUUAAACCCCCCGUGCACACAGAGACCAGCUCCCCUCAAUUUCGGUCUUUUGGCAAUCUCUGGUAAAUCAUCGCCGUGGGUCCUAGACCCCCUGAUCACCCCGACAGUCGCAGACGCGGGUAGGGAUACGUCCUUACCAAAAAAUAAAUACUUGAACAACUGUUAACAAUGGAUAUCUUGGUUCUC